CACACCACCAACGCCAGGGAACUACGAGCCUAGCUUAAAACCCAAACCACUUGACGGUGUCCUAUCCAACUAGAGGAGCCUGUUCUAUAAUCGAUAACCCCCGAUUCACCUAACCCUAUUUUGCCCCCCAGUCUGUAUACCUCCGUCGCAAACUUACCAUAUGAAUGCUUACAGUAAGUACAAAGGCCCUUCGCCAAUACGUCAGGUCAAGGUGCAACUUAUAAUAGGGGAAGUAAUGGGCUACAAUUUCUAACAUAGAACACACGAAACACUGCAUGAAAUACAGUUAUGAAGGCGGAUUUAGUAGUAAAAAGA
Molecule: ribosomal RNA, 315 nt
Filed under: Limnonectes blythii (giant mountain frog)
Lineage: Eukaryota; Metazoa; Chordata; Amphibia; Anura; Dicroglossidae
Description: partial 12S ribosomal RNA
Rfam family: Bacterial small subunit ribosomal RNA
Source: RNAcentral